This is a long non-coding RNA of Camarhynchus parvulus, 540 nucleotides long. Lineage: Eukaryota; Metazoa; Chordata; Aves; Passeriformes; Thraupidae. The record is from Ensembl.
AAUCCCUGGUGGUGCCGGCGCCACCCCAGCUGCAUUUCUGCUGUUCUAACCCUGUCCCCUGUGCUUCCCUGUGUGUUGCAGACAAGCCACUACCUCAGAGUGCCCCCGGAGGCAUCAUCGGGAUCGUGGGAGGCGUCAUCGCCGCCGUCUUCAUCAUCGGCGUGGCCAUCACCGUCAUCAUCGUCUACAGGCGGCAGCAGAAGAGCCGCUCCGACACUGACAACGACCUGAUUGACCUCCCUCCAUCCCACAAACCUGCCCCUCCACCAAAGAGGAAACAGGACAUGAAAAGCCACCUGACUCCAGAAGACAUCCAGGUUGUUCACUUGGACAACAUGAAACACGAGGAGGAGACCCAGAAGUUCCCUCUGCAGACUCCCUACUAUGACAUGGCAGCCCCCGAGCCUUCUCCCUACAGUGACAAACUGGUAAGGAGCACAGGGUGGCAGUGGCACUGCCUGGCACCUCGGCACCCAGAACCCUAAAAAAGAGAGAUGCACAGCCUGGGAUUAUCCCGUCCUGCAGGAAAGCAGCCUCCAC